AUUGAACGCUGCGGCAUGCUUUACACAUGCAAGUCGAACGGCAGCGGGGUAGUGCUUGCACUACUGCCGGCGAGUGGCGAACGGGUGAGUAAUAUAUCGGAACGUACCGAGUAAUGGGGGAUAACCAAUCGAAAGAUUGGCUAAUACCGCAUACGUCCUGAGGGAGAAAGCGGGGGAUCGCAAGACCUCGCGUUAUUCGAGCGGCCGAUAACUGAUUAGCUAGUUGGUGGGGUAAAGGCCUACCAAGGCGACGAUCAGUAGCGGGUCUGAGAGGACGAUCCGCCACACUGGGACUGAGACACGGCCCAGACUCCUACGGGAGGCAGCAGUGGGGAAUUUUGGACAAUGGGGGCAACCCUGAUCCAGCCAUGCCGCGUGUAUGAAGAAGGCUUCGGGUUGUAAAGUACUUUUGUUAGGGAAGAAAAGGGAAGUGCUAAUACCACUUUUUGCUGACGGUACCUAAAGAAUAAGCACCGGCUAA
This 481-nucleotide ribosomal RNA is filed under the name Eikenella corrodens. RNAcentral describes it as "bacterial SSU rRNA". It matches the Rfam family "Bacterial small subunit ribosomal RNA", at positions 30 to 500 of the family's 1533-position model. Lineage: Bacteria; Pseudomonadati; Pseudomonadota; Betaproteobacteria; Neisseriales; Neisseriaceae. The record is from RNAcentral.